CUAAACUGAGGAAAGUCGACCGAUACUGAUCGGCUAGAGGGACGUAGAGGUAAGCGGAACUCUCGGAGUAGCGGUGAAAUGCGUAGAGACCGAGAGGUACCCCGAUGGUGAAGACAGCUUACUGGGCGUCUCCUGACGCUGAAGCGCUAAGGCCAGGGGAGCGAAGGGGAUUAGAUACCCCCGUAGUCCUGGCUUCAAACGAUGUGGGCUUGGUGUCGGCUCCCGAUAGAGAGUCGUUGCCGGAGCUAACGUGUUAGGCCCACCGCCUGGGGAUUACGUCCGCAAGGAUGAAACUCAAGGGAAUUGACGGGGGCCCACACAACCGGUGGAGCACGUGGUUUAAUUCGAUGAUAAGCGAAGAACCUUACCAGGGCUUGACCUAGCGGUAGUAGAACCCUGAAAGGGGAACGAACCGAAGCUUUGCUUCGGGAGCC
Molecule: ribosomal RNA, 434 nt
Filed under: uncultured bacterium
Lineage: Bacteria
Description: bacterial SSU rRNA
Rfam family: Bacterial small subunit ribosomal RNA
Source: RNAcentral